CAGAAUGGUUUAUACCUAAUAAAAUACCCAAGGGACGCCCAAUAAUAUCAGACUGUGGCAGCGAAUCAUACAACGUAUCACAAUAUAUAGACCAUUUCUUAUUACCCCUAGCAUGCCAACACCCAUCCUACCUUAAAGACACUAACGAUUUCAUUCAGAAAAUCAAACAGUUAAGAGUCCCCGAACACACCGUUUUAAUAUCCAUCGACGUACAAAGCAUGUACACGAACAUUGAUAAUAACAUAGGUAUUGAAGCAGUUAGGAAAGCAUUUCUUAGGAACCCGCAAGCAUCCAGGCCGGACGAAGAAAUCCUCAAACUACUCAACAUUUGUCUGAGGAGGAAUGACUUCGCUUUUAACGACCAAGUAUACCUUCAGUCUUCCGGAACUGCGAUGGGAAAACGAUUUGCCCCGAGUUAUGCAAAUCUCUUCAUGGCGGAGUGGGAAAGGGAAGUUCUGCCACUCUGUCCAUUAAAACCAGAUUUCUAUGGGCGGUUUUUAGAUGACGUUUUCAUAGUCUGGACCUACACACUAGACGAAUUUUGGACGUUUUUCAACAUCCUGAACAAUCAUCAUCCAUCUGUCAAAUUAACCGCAAAUAAACAAUAAUACCAGAAUACCAGAAGCACCACCCAAGGAAGACCAUCAGCGCCACCAACACCAAUAAACAGUGAAAUCGCCUUUGUAUAUAAAUCUAAUGUAUUGUAUGUAUUUUAAUAAAACUAGGAAAUAUCA
Long non-coding RNA from Patella vulgata (common limpet), 734 nucleotides. RefSeq lists it as uncharacterized. The record is from RefSeq and is a predicted model, not a curated record. NCBI's taxonomy places the organism in Eukaryota, Metazoa, Mollusca, Gastropoda, Patellidae. The transcript is spliced from 2 exons.